GAACGUCCGGAAACGGACGCUACUACCGCAUACGUCCUACGGGAGAAAGCAGGGGACCUUCGGGCCUUGCGCUAUCAGAUGAGCCUACGUCGGAUCAGCUGGUUGGUGGGGUAAUGGCUCACCAAGGCGACGAUCCGUCACUGGUCUCAGAGGACGAUCAGUCACACUGGAACCGAGACACGGUCCAGACUCCUACGGGAGGCAGCAGUGGGGAAUAUUGGACAAUGGGCGAAAGCCCGAUCCAGCCAUGCCGCGUGUGUGGAGAAGGUCUUCGGAUUGUAAAGCACUUCAAGUUGGGAGGAAGGGUACUUACCUCAUACGUCAGUAUUUUCACGUUACCGACAGAACAAGCACCGGCCAACUCUGUGCCAGCAGCCGCGGUCAUACAGAGGGUGCAAGCGUCAAUCGGAAUUACUGGGCGGAAAGCGCGCGUAGGUGGUUCGUCAAGUUGGAUGGGAAAUCCCCGGGCUCAACCUGGGAACUGCAUCCAAAACUGGCGAGCAAGAGUAUGGUCGAGGGUGGUGGAAUUUCCUGUGUACCGGUCAAAUGCGCAGAUAUAGGAAGGAACACCAGUGGCGAAGGCGACCACCUGGACAGAUACUUUACACUGAGGUGCGAAAGCGUGGGGAGCAAACAGGAUUAGAUACCCUGGUGGUCCACGCCGUACACGAUGUCAACUACCCGUUGGGAGCCUUGAGCUCUCAGUGGCGCAGCAAACGCAUCAAGUUGACCGCCUGGGGAGUACGGCCGCAAGGUCAAAACUCAAAUCAAUCGACGGGGGCCCGCACAAGCGGUGGAGCAUGUGGUUCAAUUCGAAGCAACGCGAAGAACCUUACCAGGCCUCGACAUCCAAUGGACUUUCCAGAGAUGGAUUGGUGCCUUCGGGAACAUUCAGACAGGUGCUGCAUGGCUGUCGUCAGCUCGUGUCGUCAGAUGUUGGGUCAAGUCCCGGAACGAGCGCAACCCUUGUCCUCAGUUACCAGCACGUUAUGGUGGGCACUCGAAGGAGACUGCCGGCGACAAACCGGAGGAAGGUGGGGAAGACGUCAAGUCAUCAUGGCCCUUACGGCCUGGGCUACACACGUGCUACAAUGGUCGGUACAGAGGGUUGCCAAGCCGCGAGGUGGAGCUAAUCCCAUAAAACCGAUCGUAGUCCGGAUCGCAGUCUGCAACUCGACUGCGUGAAGUCGGAAUCGCUAGUAAUCGCGAAUCAGAAUGUCGCGGUGAAUACGUUCCCGGGCCUUGUACACACCGCCCGUCACACCAUGGGAG
RNAcentral lists this ribosomal RNA (1272 nucleotides) under uncultured Pseudomonas sp. Its description in RNAcentral is "bacterial SSU rRNA". It matches the Rfam family "Bacterial small subunit ribosomal RNA", at positions 144 to 1410 of the family's 1533-position model. Lineage: Bacteria; Pseudomonadati; Pseudomonadota; Gammaproteobacteria; Pseudomonadales; Pseudomonadaceae. The record is from RNAcentral.